This is a long non-coding RNA of Vitis riparia (riverbank grape), 738 nucleotides long. RefSeq lists it as uncharacterized. The record is from RefSeq and is a predicted model, not a curated record. NCBI's taxonomy places the organism in Eukaryota, Viridiplantae, Streptophyta, Magnoliopsida, Vitales, Vitaceae. The transcript is spliced from 2 exons.
AGCCUCCCACCUUUCAAAUAGAUAGAGCCACACACCCUUCAUCUUUGUUUAUAUCUUUUAUCACAUAGACCCAGUUGCAUUUUAUUAAUUACAAAUCUCCUUCAAGUUGCCUUUGUGCUUCCCACAUAAACGAUUUUCACUCUUUUGGUUUCCCAAAAAGGAGGGGAAAAUAUCAGUGGGAAAUGAUUCCGCUUAGGAGACUUGAGCUCUUGGCUUUGUUCUUCAUUGUUGUUGCCAUUUUUCAAUACCCGAGAGCCAUGGAGGCCAGGCCUGCAUCAUUCCAAAGGUAUUCAAAGGUGUUUAAUACACUGGGAGUGGUGUGCAAGUGUUGUGAUGGUGAGGGAGGUGAAUGCCGAAGCACAUGGGAGGGGUCUUGCCCUAAGCUUCAGUGUCUUCCAUGGAAAUAUCACUGAUGCAUGAAUUUUUUUUAUAUUUAUGGCUUUAUAAUAAUAAUAAUAAUAAUCUGUGUUAUGUGAACAAUAAUUCUGCUGUGUGCAGUACAUAUAUAUUGAUUUAGCUUUACUUUUGAUGAUCCCAUUUGCAUUCAGUUCAUUGAGAAGUUGUGUAAGGAAACCGAAAUUGGAGUAGUUUAUUUUUCUCAAUCUACUGUUACUAGCUAUGGUGCUCUAGAAGAUUCUAGACCACAUAGAAAACCUUUGGUGAAUACAACAUCAAUUGGGUCAAAAAAUGUAAUAAUCAAUGCUAUAUUAUUAUUGAAUGGUGAGUUUUCUUUUAUUA